GCGCGAUUAGCUCAGCGGUAGAGCGCUUGCUUCACACGCAAGAAGUCACAGGUUCAAACCCUGUAUCGCGCACCA
RNAcentral lists this transfer RNA (75 nucleotides) under Spartobacteria bacterium AMD-G4. RNAcentral describes it as "tRNA-Val". It matches the Rfam family "tRNA". From Rfam's summary of the family: Transfer RNA (tRNA) molecules are approximately 80 nucleotides in length. Their secondary structure includes four short double-helical elements and three loops (D, anti-codon, and T loops). Further hydrogen bonds mediate the characteristic L-shaped molecular structure. tRNAs have two regions of fundamental functional importance: the anti-codon, which is responsible for specific mRNA codon recognition, and the 3' end, to which the tRNAs corresponding amino acid is attached (by aminoacyl-tRNA synthetases). tRNAs cope with the degeneracy of the genetic code in two manners: having more than one tRNA (with a specific anti-codon) for a particular amino acid; and 'wobble' base-pairing, i.e. permitting non-standard base-pairing at the 3rd anti-codon position. The record is from RNAcentral. Lineage: Bacteria; Pseudomonadati; Verrucomicrobiota; Spartobacteria.